Haliotis rubra (blacklip abalone) is the source of this 1644-nucleotide long non-coding RNA. RefSeq lists it as uncharacterized. The transcript has 2 exons. NCBI's taxonomy places the organism in Eukaryota, Metazoa, Mollusca, Gastropoda, Lepetellida, Haliotidae. The record is from RefSeq and is a predicted model, not a curated record.
UUUCUAAAAGUAGCUUGUGUCAUGUACAAUAACUAGAAAUAUAUCCUUGUUAAUGGAUUGAUUUCUAAAAGUAGCUUGUGUCAUGUACAAUAACUAGAAAUAUAUCCUUGUUAAUGGAUUGAUUUCUAAAAGUAGCUUGUGUCAUGUACAAUAACUAGAAAUAUAUCCUUGUUAAUGGAUUGAUUUCUAAAGUAGCUUGUGUCAUGUACAAUAACUAGAAAUAUAUCCUUGUUAAUGGAUUGAUUUCUAAAGUAGCUUGUGUCAUGUACAAUAACUAGUAAUAUAUCCUUGUUAAUGGGUUCAAUUCUAAAAGUAGCUUGUGUCAUGUACAAUAACUAGAUAUAUAUCCUUGUUAAUGGGUUCAAUUCUAAAAGUAGCUUGUGUCCUGUACAAUAACUAGAAAUAUAUCCUUGUUAAUUGAUUAAUUUCUAACAGUAGCCUGUGUCAUGUACAAUAACAAGAAAUAUAUCCUUGUUAAUGGAUUGAUUUCUAAAAGUAGGUUGUGUCAUGUACAAUAACUAGAUAUAUAUCCUUGUUAAUGGGUUCAAUUCUAAAAGUAGCUUGUGUCCUGUACAAUAACUAGAAAUAUAUCCUUGUUAAUUGAUUAAUUUCUAACAGUAGCCUGUGUCAUGUACAAUAACAAGAAAUAUAUCCUUGUUAAUGGAUUGAUUUCUAAAAGUAGCUUGUGUCAUGUACAAUAACUAGAUACUAGUAUAUAUCUUUAUCAUUGGUGUGAUUCCUAAUAAUAUUUGGUGUCACAUGAAACAUCUACAGUUAUAUCCUCAUCACUGGAGUAAUUUCUAAUAGUAAUAGGUAUUUUAUAUAACUCUAGAAGUAUACCCUCAUCACUGAAGUGAUUUCUAUCAGUAAUUGGUAUCAUGUAAACAACUAGAAAUACAUCUUUAUGAUAGUAGUUGGUGCCAUAUAACACAUGCAGAAAUAUAACUCUUACAAAAAGAGGAACAAAUAUGAUGUAAAGGUAUCAAAUAACACAACUUGGUUAAAUCAACUAAAUGAAAUUUUUUAAUCAUGUUGGCACAAUUUUACAUCCCGUUUUUCACUUCUAACCUAUUUGUUGAACUUAACUCAUGAUUAAAGCUUGGAAUCUAGAAAAUUACAUUUUGGGGGGUUUUGCAGCCAUUUUGGAUUUAGCCUCGCUCUGAGUUUAAGCUUCCAAACCGACAUGGCCAUCAUACACUUGUGAUAUGUGGUAACCAUAACAACUUCAAAAACACAACUUUAAGUGUUUGGUCCCUCUGAAUGGUACCGAAUUGCCUGUCUCCUCGCCUUAUUGGUGUCAACAGUGGUGUCAUGUAAGCAACUAGAAAUAUAUUCUUAUGAUCAGAGUGAUUUCUAAUAGUAGUUAGUGUCUUAUGAAAACAUGUAGAAAUAUACUUUUUCAUUUGAGUGAUUUUUAAUAGUAUUUCAUAUCAUGUAAACUAUCUGACCAGAGCAGUUGCUGCACAACCGCAAUGCUACCAGCUGUUUGAGAAAUGUGGAGUGCAAGUUGCCACUGGCCUUUUUGUUGUUGCUUAUUUCUUAAGAUUGCCUCAUUAACUUUGCAUACUCAUUGGCUUUGCGUACUCAUAACCUUUGCAUGCUGUUGUGCUUGUGAUGUCUUAGAAAUAAAUAAUAGUCUCGUCA